RNAcentral lists this ribosomal RNA (448 nucleotides) under uncultured Pelagibacteraceae bacterium. Its description in RNAcentral is "bacterial SSU rRNA". It matches the Rfam family "Bacterial small subunit ribosomal RNA", at positions 600 to 1050 of the family's 1533-position model. The record is from RNAcentral. Lineage: Bacteria; Pseudomonadati; Pseudomonadota; Alphaproteobacteria; Candidatus Pelagibacterales; Candidatus Pelagibacteraceae.
UCCCAGAGCUUAACUCUGGAACUGCCAUCAAAACUUUUCAGCUAGAGUAUGAUAGAGGAAAGCAGAAUUUCUAGUGUAGAGGUGAAAUUCGUAGAUAUUAGAAAGAAUACCAAUUGCGAAGGCAGCUUUCUGGAUCAUUACUGACACUGAGGAACGAAAGCAUGGGUAGCGAAGAGGAUUAGAUACCCUCGUAGUCCAUGCCGUAAACGAUGUGUGUUAGACGUUGGAAAUUUAUUUUCAGUGUCGCAGCGAAAGCGAUAAACACACCGCCUGGGGAGUACGACCGCAAGGUUAAAACUCAAAUGAAUUGACGGGGGCCCGCACAAGCGGUGGAGCAUGUGGUUUAAUUCGAUGCAACGCGAAGAACCUUACCUACACUUGACAUGCAGAGAACUUUCCAGAGAUGGAUUGGUGCCUUCGGGAACUCUGACACAGGUGCUGCAUGGCU